Molecule: ribosomal RNA, 463 nt
Filed under: uncultured bacterium
Lineage: Bacteria
Description: partial 16S ribosomal RNA
Rfam family: Bacterial small subunit ribosomal RNA
Source: RNAcentral
GAUGAACGCUGACAGAAUGCUUAACACAUGCAAGUCUUUGGCGAAGCUGUGCUUGCACAGCCUGGCCAAGGCGGACGGGUGAGUAACGCGUAAGGAACUUGCCCUGCAGUCAGGGAUAACAGACGGAAACGACUGAUAAGACCUGGUAAAGUCAGGCGGACUCAUGUCCAGCCUGAUGAAAAGAGAUGCUGCAGGAGAGCCUUGCGUCCUAUUAGCUUGUUGGUGGGGUAACGGCCCACCAAGGCGAUGAUAGGUAGCCGGCCUGAGAGGGUGGACGGCCACAAGGGGACUGAGAUACGGCCCUUACUCCUACGGGAGGCAGCAGUGGGGAAUAUUGGACAAUGGGGGCAACCCUGAUCCAGCAAUUCUGUGUGCAAGAUGAAGGUUUUCGGAUUGUAAAGUGCUUUCAGCAGGGAAGAAAAAAAUGACGGUACCUGCAGAAGAAGCGACGGCUAAAUACGUG